RNAcentral lists this ribosomal RNA (475 nucleotides) under Micrococcineae bacterium CL3.154. RNAcentral's name for it is "bacterial SSU rRNA". It matches the Rfam family "Bacterial small subunit ribosomal RNA", at positions 17 to 503 of the family's 1533-position model. RNAcentral also lists the same sequence under 3 other names. Lineage: Bacteria; Bacillati; Actinomycetota; Actinomycetes; Micrococcales. The record is from RNAcentral.
CCCUGGCUCAGGAUGAACGCAGGCGGCGUGCUUAACACAUGCAAGUCGAACGAUGACCCGGUGCUUGCACCGGUGAUUAGUGGCGAACGGGUGAGUAACACGUGAGUAACCUGCCCUUAACUCUGGGAUAAGCCUGGGAAACUGGGUCUAAUACCGGAUAUGACUCCUCAUCGCAUGGUGGGGGGUGGAAAGCUUUAUUGUGGUUUUGGAUGGACUCGCGGCCUAUCAGCUUGUUGGUGAGGUAAUGGCUCACCAAGGCGACGACGGGUAGCCGGCCUGAGAGGGUGACCGGCCACACUGGGACUGAGACACGGCCCAGACUCCUACGGGAGGCAGCAGUGGGGAAUAUUGCACAAUGGGCGCAAGCCUGAUGCAGCGACGCCGCGUGAGGGAUGACGGCCUUCGGGUUGUAAACCUCUUUCAGUAGGGAAGAAGCGAAAGUGACGGUACCUGCAGAAGAAGCGCCGGCUAACUA